RNAcentral lists this ribosomal RNA (221 nucleotides) under uncultured bacterium. Its description in RNAcentral is "partial 16S ribosomal RNA". It matches the Rfam family "Bacterial small subunit ribosomal RNA", at positions 521 to 740 of the family's 1533-position model. The record is from RNAcentral.
UAAUACGUAGGGGCCUAGCGUUGUCCGGAUUUAUUGGGCGUAAAGAGCUCGUAGGCGGUUCGGCAAGUCGGAUGUGAAAUCUCCACGCUUAACGUGGAGGGGCCAUUCGAAACUGCCGUGACUCGAGUCCGGUAGGGGAGUGUGGAAUUCCCGGUGUAGCGGUGAAAUGCGCAGAUAUCGGGAGGAACACCAGUAGCGAAGGCGGCACUCUGGGCCGGUAC